Molecule: transfer RNA, 76 nt
Filed under: Thermoflexibacter ruber
Lineage: Bacteria; Pseudomonadati; Bacteroidota; Cytophagia; Cytophagales; Thermoflexibacteraceae
Description: tRNA_Thr_TGT
Rfam family: tRNA
About the family: Transfer RNA (tRNA) molecules are approximately 80 nucleotides in length. Their secondary structure includes four short double-helical elements and three loops (D, anti-codon, and T loops).
Source: RNAcentral
GCCUCUGUAGCUCAGCUGGUAGAGCAACUGACUUGUAAUCAGUAGGUCGUCGGUUCGAUCCCGUCCGGGGGCUCAA